Molecule: long non-coding RNA, 128 nt
Organism: Rhipicephalus microplus (southern cattle tick)
Lineage: Eukaryota; Metazoa; Arthropoda; Arachnida; Ixodida; Ixodidae
Source: RefSeq, a predicted model, not a curated record
UCUCCCUAGGAGAAAGAAACAUAUGCCGUGUUUUCAGAUUUCUUCAACCAUUUUUUUGAAGCACACCGUUCUGAUUGGAGAGGUUGAGCAAAUGAAGAAGCUCCUCAAUAAAGCUUUGGCAAACAAAA